Molecule: small RNA, 503 nt
Filed under: Pongo abelii (Sumatran orangutan)
Lineage: Eukaryota; Metazoa; Chordata; Mammalia; Primates; Hominidae
Description: processed transcript
Source: RNAcentral
GAGGAGGCUGCGUCUGGCUCCCGCUCUCACAGCCAUUGCAGUACAUUGAGCUCCAUAGAGACAGCGCCGGGGCAAGUGAGAGCCGGACGGGCACUGGGCGAUUCUGUGCCUCGCUGAGGAAAAAUAACUAAACAUGGGCAAAGGAGAUCCUAAGAAGCCGAGAGGCAAAAUGUCAUCAUAUGCAUUUUUUGUGCAAACUUGUCGGGAGGAGCAUAAGAAGAAGCACCCAGAUGCUUCAGUCAACUUCUCAGAGUUUUCUAAGAAGUGCUCAGAGAGGUGGAAGGUAAGAGGGCUUAAAACAUGCUAACAAGGUAAUUAAAAGACAGUUUCCAAUUGAGGAUACAAAAAAAAGCCUAGUUGGCGUUCUCAUAGUGGGACGCUAUUACAUAGCAAAAGACAUUGGUUUUGAGGAUAAUUUACUUAAAUGUUACAACUUAAACUUACAAAUAAUUGUUUUGUAGACCAUGUCUGCUAAAGAGAAAGGAAAAUUUGAAGAUAUGGCA